Molecule: transfer RNA, 77 nt
Filed under: Bdellovibrionales bacterium
Lineage: Bacteria; Pseudomonadati; Bdellovibrionota; Bdellovibrionia; Bdellovibrionales
Description: tRNA-Arg
Rfam family: tRNA
About the family: Transfer RNA (tRNA) molecules are approximately 80 nucleotides in length.
Source: RNAcentral
GCAACCGUAGCUUAGCUGGAUAGAGCACCUGACUACGAAUCAGGAGGUCACAGGUUCGAAUCCUGUCGGUUGCGCCA